RNAcentral lists this long non-coding RNA (3406 nucleotides) under Manihot esculenta (cassava). RNAcentral describes it as "long non-coding RNA (MESC_LNC008879)". The record is from RNAcentral. Lineage: Eukaryota; Viridiplantae; Streptophyta; Magnoliopsida; Malpighiales; Euphorbiaceae.
AGCGAACCAUAUAUCCUCAGCAGAAUAAACGAACGCUUUAAGCGUCAAAGCCUUUCUAUACGGCGAGUGCAUCUGUAUACACCAGUAAAAUUAAGACACACAGAUGAAGCGGUGGACGGCGACUGUGGCGUCUGCCUGACUGAAUCCUCCAUGGUUAGCUUCGACGGCCAAAUUCCGGCGCUCGCAGUACACGUAGAAACAAUUCACGCAGUCUGAUUCUUCAGUUCGAGUAAAGUGAAUCAAAGCUUUUUACGCCUUGGAUUAGGCUUGGGUACUUCUGGUAUUGCUUCACCUUUAAUUUCCACUCAUUAUAUUUUAUGAAUUUCUAUUUUGUCGAAGUAUUUUAUGGAUUAUUACCGUUCAGGUUUCUUGGAUAAAUAAGUUAAAGCAACCAGGACACUAAACAAAAGAGCUUAUUAAUACUAGGAUGAUAUAGGAAUAAUGAACUCUACAGUCUUGAUUAUCAAGAUGCAGUGAAAGGGGGGGCCGGGUGGGGUUGAAUUAUUGCAGACUAAAUUUUAUACAGUGCAAGAAAGCAAAUUGCUAUAGUGGAGUGUCACUGUAUGCUACAUUGUGACACGUUAGAAAAUGGAGAGGAAUGGGAAGAUACCAUCUUUGUUUUAAUAACAAAAAGGAAUACAAUAAAUUUCACAUAGAAACAAAUAUGAACUGCCAUGCAUCUCACAUCCCAGUAGCUUUUGAUACUUGCUUCAAAGCUUCAGCGAUCUCACUGGCUGAUGAUUCACCACUCAAAUGUGCAAUCAAGCGACUCUCUUUAGGAACAAAGUCAUCUUUUAACUCCAUGGAUCUUAGCAAUUCUUCAGAUCCUUUUAUCACCACACCUUUCAUUAUUAUGGUCUUAUGAGCCCCAGCUACCAUUUGCUCAUAGUCAGUGUCUCCAGUUUCACCAAGAAUUACAUACAUGUUUGCAACAUUCAACCUCCAACGGACGAAAAGGUACCUAUUAAUCAGAAGCAAAUGGAAAUAGAAACAAAUCCUCAACUUAUUACAAUCAUUCUGUAGGACUCCUUAAGAUCUGGUGGUUAAGGGAUUUGGUUAAACAACAAGAAGCCAAUUAAUCAAUGAUCAAGAAUUAGUAUCAAAAAAGUUACAUGUUAAGUCAUGAAACUGCAUUCCAUAAUUUUAAAACGUUAUCACAUAACAGGCCAAUUUUUAAAAGCACCAUUUAUCUAAAAGUACCUCAGCGCCUGUGCUCGAGAUGCCAAGAGAGGAAUGAUUUGCAUCCUUGUUGAGCUCCUGCAGUACAUUGGAUGACAACGAAGACCCCGCAUCCUUAGUUUUUGCCUCAAAUCAUGCACUUUCAUAACCUGUAAAAGCACAUCAGAGUGAAAAUACAUGUAUAAAAACAACCCUUGUUAAAUUAACCUCAAGAAAAAUAUCUUCUUUUACCUUUUUGCGAUCCUUGAUCCAGUAUGCGACGCAAUGGGCAUUGCUUGAUUUUGAAUCUAACUCGAUGAGGCUGGAUGAUCCUUUAGAUUGUUCUGCACCUUCAGUUGUGUUUAUUAGCUUCCAGAUGGUUUUUUUAAGACCUUCACAACCCCAGCGGUAGUCUAUAUGUGAUGCAUAAUCUGGAUCCGGUAAAAGUUCUCCAUUCUCUUCAGUAUAAGUUCCAGGGUAAUACAAUUCACUACCACUGCUACAAAUCAAUGCAUCAAACUCAUUUACUUGAAUCUUUGCCGAUGCCAAGAAUUCUACUGUUUCUGACAAUGGCAUAGCUGUAGCUAAAGCAAUCCCUGAUGUUCUUGCAAAUAGUGAGUCUGACCUAACAGCUUUAAUUACAUAUUGCACAACUUGAAUCAUCUUAUUUUCAGGAGCCCCUUCAGCGCCAUAGCAGUCAAGAGCUAUUACAAUCAACCUUCGUCGCCUCCUCAACAUGGGAUACUUGCUCAUGCCAGUCUCAUUCUUUCCACCUUCAGCAUCUUUUGGGCCAGCCUCUGGUUUCUUGAUCUUCCUCAUUACCUGGUUUACUUGAGCUUGUAUCUCCGGGUCACCUGCAGCUGCUGCUGAAUAGUCGAGUGAUUCAUUUAAUGAAGAUUUAUCGCCAUCAAUUGAGAGCCUAAGAGACAUAUCUUGCACAUCCUUCAGGGAAUCAUUGAGAGAUGACUCUUCAGCAGCCAUCUCAUCUCCUGGAGUAUCAGUUUGCCACUGUGGGUGCCUCAUUCGGCAUGCUGCUACCCUAGUCAAGUAAGUGCGGCAGUGUUCUGGCCAUGAGAAAAGGUGUAUAUUUUUCCAACCAUUCUUUCUGCACUCAUGCCAUAGAUUCUUCUCUGAUACCAAUGUAAGUAGUGCAUCAGCAAUAGCUUGCUGAUCAUGAGGAUCCACAAGUAGACCGUUGUUCAAUGCCUACCAAUCAAAUCAAGAAUAAUAAAAACUUCAGAUUUUCAAUCAUCAAAUUCAUAGUUCCAUUACAUCCAUAAUAGCUAAGAAAUAGGAGAGUGAGAAAAAGAAAAUAAAAAUCCUACACAAAUUUCCAACAAACCGAUUCAUUCUAAAGUUUACUUUUAUUUCAUCUGGCUAUCAUUCAAUCAGAUGGGAUAGACAUAGAACAUGAAAAUAAGACUAAAGCACAUCCAAGAAGCUGGCAGUCUAUAUGCUAGUUAAUAGAUGGGGAUUGUCUUUACUCGAUUGAUGUCAACUGGGCCACCAUUUUUAGUUGCCACCAUAGGAAGCCCGUGUGCAGCAGCCUGAAUUUUUUGAAACCAGUAUCAAAAUAUCAUUAUUUGAGCAAAGGAAGAUGAGAACAUGAAAAUUCUAAUUUACUAAGAUAAACUAACCUCAAUUAAGGUAAGGCCAAAAGGCUCGACCAAUGCUGGGUUUAUGAAAACUCCCUGGCAGAUACCAAAUCACUUAAUCAAUAAUUAAUGUGAGUUUCAUAUAGAUUUACUUCUAAAACAGUAUUUCCAGUAAACCUUUGUCUUUGCAGCAAGCCGAUAAAUAUCUGGAACUUCGUAUUGCUUGUGAUGCUUUGGAUAUGCAACUAGCCCAUAGAGAUCAUACUUGUCUAUCAGUUUCAAUACUGUCAUGAGAACACUUGCAUUUCCACCUGUCAUCUCAUCUAUAUCGUCCCUGUUUCCCAUGAUUAGUGUCUGCAUCAUAGAAUAUUAGUUUUCUUAAGUGUACCAUAUCACCAUGUUAAAGAUUACUUUAACUGCCUAGUUAUAAAAUGUUCGUACGAGAUUGGCAAGCUCUCUUAAUGGACGGCACUCUCCAAAGGCUUUCAGUAACGUAGUAAUAUUUUUCUUUGGGUCAGGCCUUGACAAGGCCAAAAUCAUUGGCUUGUGAGGAUUAGUAAGGAAUCUCAUCACCUGCCAUAAGAAGAUAGCACAAGGCAACAAUAGUUCAUACGCUUAAUCAAGUGGAACAACAAUCAACACACAAAUGGGAC